RNAcentral lists this ribosomal RNA (329 nucleotides) under uncultured eukaryote. RNAcentral describes it as "partial 18S ribosomal RNA". It matches the Rfam family "Eukaryotic small subunit ribosomal RNA", at positions 1470 to 1796 of the family's 1831-position model. The record is from RNAcentral.
CCCUUAGAUGUUCUGGGCCGCACGCGCGCUACACUGAUGCGUUCAACGAGUAUACAACCUUGGCUGAAAGGCCUGGGUAAUCUUUUGAAUGCGCAUCGUGCUAGGGAUAGAUUGUUGCAAUUUUCAAUCUUGAACGAGGAAUUCCUAGUAAACGCAAGUCAUCAGCUUGCAUUGAUUACGUCCCUGCCCUUUGUACACACCGCCCGUCGCACCUACCGAUUGAAUGACUCGGUGAAAAAUUGGGACCGUGAAAUUGUUUGCUUCAUUGCGAGUAAUUUUAUGGGAACUUUUUUUAACCUCGCCAUUUAGAGGAAGGCGAAGUCGUAACA